Molecule: long non-coding RNA, 1443 nt
Filed under: Oryctolagus cuniculus (rabbit)
Lineage: Eukaryota; Metazoa; Chordata; Mammalia; Lagomorpha; Leporidae
Description: lncRNA (ENSOCUG00000033701.1)
Source: RNAcentral
AUGAUACUGGGUAAAACUUCAAAUGAUGAAUGUUUUCCUAGUUCCCUUAUAUCCGUACCUACAGCCCUCCCACUCUCUCUCUCUGUGCAGUGCUCUCAUGGGGCACACACACGUGUGGACGUGUCUCUGCCCCUCCCACUCUGUGCAGUGCUCUCAUGGUGCACACACACGUGUGGACGUGUCUCUGCCCCUCCCCACUCUGUGCAGUGCUCUCAUGGUGCACACACACGUGUGGGCGUGUCUCUGCCCCUACCCACUCUCUCUGCACUGUUCUCGCAAUGCACAGAGACAUGUAGAUCCCUGGGUGCCUGUGGGGCUUCCCUCUACCUCCCUACAUGGCUCUGCUGCUUUCAGGUUUCACCUCCACACUACAAAGGUUGGAUUUACUCAGUGAACUUGUCUGUCUAUAUAGUAACACUUUGUAUUUAUUAAUGAAUAUAUUCCGGGCAUCUGGUGUAAGGCAAAGGUCUAAUGCCUGGAUACAGCACAGGUGGAUUAGAGAUGACAGAAAUGAGAAACAGAAAAGGAAAGGAGGGAACGGGCCAGUGGCACAACGGAUAACACGUCUGACGACAGAUCAGAAGAUUCUAGAAAAGAUGGGAAGGCUGCAGGGCACUUCCUUCUGGAGGGAUGCAGAAAGUGCAGCGAAGUGGUGACAUUUGGGAAUUGAGUAAGUCACGACAAAGCUCCAGGCUUCCGUGGUCUUAGUCUAUGGAAAACGCUGAAUACUUCCAGAAAACUCACACUCUUCUAGGCCUCCAGACCUGCAGUGCUAAUAAUUUUCAGACUUCCAUGUUCUAGAAAGAACAAAACGCUCAGACAAUCCAGUGAGAUCAGGGCUUCCUGCACCUCAGUCCCACACAUUCUCCUUCCUAGGAGCUAAAGGUGAACGCCGAAAGAUUUCACGUAGUCACAGCACAGGAACUGACUGGGUCCAGCUCUGCUUCAGGUCUAGCUCCCUGCUAAUGCUCCCGGGAAAGUGGUCCAAGUGGCUGGGCCUGCCCCCAAGCUGCAGAGCUGGAGGGAGCUGCGUGCUCCUGCUGUCUGGCCCAUCGCAGCCAUUGGAGCCAUCUGGGGAGUGAACAAGCAGAUGGAAAAUCUCUCUCUCUCUGCAUCACUCUCUAUAACUAUGCCUUUCAGACAAAGAAAAGAAAUCUUUACUGAAAAAACAGCAUUGCAGGGGCUGGUGUUGUGGUCUGGCAGGUUAAACUGCCAUCUGCAACGCCAGGGCCAGCAUUAUAAAUGAGCACACGUUGGACUCCUGGCUGCUCUGCUUCCGAUCCAGCUCCCUGCUGUGGCCUGGGAAUGCAGUGGAAGGUGGUCCAAACGCUUGGGCCCCUGUAGCCAUGUGGGAGACCUGGAAGAAGCUCCUGGCUCCUGCUUUAGUUUGGGCCAGCUCCGGCGAUUGCAGUCAUUUAAAAUAAAUAAAUCUAAAACAAAACA